Drosophila gunungcola (fruit fly) is the source of this 516-nucleotide long non-coding RNA. RefSeq lists it as uncharacterized. NCBI's taxonomy places the organism in Eukaryota, Metazoa, Arthropoda, Insecta, Diptera, Drosophilidae. The transcript has 3 exons. The record is from RefSeq and is a predicted model, not a curated record.
CAAAAAGGAAUUCAAUGCUCGUCUGAAUAACUAAAUCGCUUUAGUCAAUUUUCACGGCGGAGGUGGGCUUUCCACGUGGUUCAAGACUGAUUGUUAACUGCAGUUAGUUGCAGCUCAGAAGCUCGUUUUCUGUUACCAGCUGAGGCGGCAUCGGCAGACUUGAUCUGAAAGGCAAGGCCAUUUCGGCAACAUUAAAACCCUGCGGGCAACUUAGAUCACUGGAUUUUCGAUGUUCUUUAAAACGACCAAUACUAGCCCCACACGGAAGAUGCCUUGGGCUAGCCAGAUGGGUCGAAGCCGUGGCGCAUAUUUACAUUUACAUUUAAUGAACGAUUACACCACUAAGAUAUGCGACCUUGGAACAGAAACAACACUAACUAUUUUUCUCAGCAACAUUUUGUUAAAUUUUCGUUUAAUUGUUAUGGCUUCUGUGGAUGCUUUUGGAUCAAACAAAAUAUCACGUUUCUAAGUUAAAGCCAAAGGUUUUUAGAUAAAAAUAAUAAUAAUGAAUUUAAU